AGAGUUUGAUCCUGGCUCAGGACGAACGCUGGCGGCGUGCGUAAGGCAUGCAAGUCGAGCGCUCCUUCUGCCUUCGGGCAGUGGGGGAGCGGCGGACGGGUGAGUAACACGUGGGUGAUCUGCCCACCGGACCGGGACACCCUCUCGAAAGGGAGGUCGAUACCGGGUACGCCUACUGGGUUACGGCCCAGCUGGGAAAG
RNAcentral lists this ribosomal RNA (200 nucleotides) under uncultured bacterium. RNAcentral describes it as "partial 16S ribosomal RNA". It matches the Rfam family "Bacterial small subunit ribosomal RNA", at positions 8 to 206 of the family's 1533-position model. The record is from RNAcentral.